UUGGAUUAAUUUCCUAAAUUUCGCAAAAGAAAAGAAAGGUGGUCUGUUCGACCAUUAAAUAAUUACAUGAUUUGAGUUCAGACCGGUAUAAGCCAGGUCGGAUUCUAUCUUCUAUAAAUAUUUAUAUAGUACGAAAGGGCCUAUAAUUAUAAUAUUAUUAUUUUAUUAGCAAAUAAUGCAUUAGAAUUAGAAUCUAACUAAACUUGU
RNAcentral lists this ribosomal RNA (207 nucleotides) under Phaeacius sp. LKCNHM D.Li LQ-24-06. RNAcentral describes it as "partial 16S ribosomal RNA". The record is from RNAcentral. Lineage: Eukaryota; Metazoa; Arthropoda; Arachnida; Araneae; Salticidae.